This 486-nucleotide ribosomal RNA is filed under the name uncultured bacterium. RNAcentral's name for it is "partial 16S ribosomal RNA". It matches the Rfam family "Bacterial small subunit ribosomal RNA", at positions 29 to 507 of the family's 1533-position model. The record is from RNAcentral.
AACGAACGCUGGCGGCGCGUCUUAACCAUGCAAGUCGAGCGGCAGGCAGCAAUGCCGCGCGCGGCGGACUGGUGAGUAACACGUGGGUAACGUACCCCGAUGUCCGGGUCAGCCUGUAGAAAUAGAGGGUAAUACCGGAUAGAUCACUGUUUACGUGAGGUAGACAGCGGGAAAGGAGCUUCGGCUCCGCGACGGGAUCGGUCUGCGGCCCAUCAGCUGGACGGCGGGGUAAAGGCCCGCCGUGGCGAGGACGGGUAUCCGGCCUGAGAGGGCGGACGGACACAUUGGGACUGAGAUGCGGCCCAGACUCCUACGGGAGGCAGCAGGUAAGAAUAUUCCGCAAUGGGGGGAACCCUGACGGAGCGACGCCGCGUGAACGAAGAAGGCCGGAAGGUUGUAAAGUUCUUUUCUGUCCGAGGAAGAAGUUUCGGAGGAAAUGCCGGGACGGUGACGGUAGGGCAGGAAUAAGCACCGGCUAAUUACGUG